GGAAGUUAAGAAAUUGUUUCUUAAAUUUUAACUAAAAAAACUAAGAACUGUUUCUUAAAUAAGGACUUUAAAAACCGGUUCUUAGUUUUUUUAGUUAAAAAUUAAAAAACAGUUUCUUAACUUCU
Molecule: microRNA precursor, 125 nt
Organism: Brassica oleracea var. oleracea
Lineage: Eukaryota; Viridiplantae; Streptophyta; Magnoliopsida; Brassicales; Brassicaceae
Rfam family: MIR9563 microRNA precursor family
Source: Rfam